This is a long non-coding RNA of Tympanuchus pallidicinctus (lesser prairie-chicken), 4504 nucleotides long. RefSeq lists it as uncharacterized. The record is from RefSeq and is a predicted model, not a curated record. Lineage: Eukaryota; Metazoa; Chordata; Aves; Galliformes; Phasianidae. The transcript is spliced from 2 exons.
AGUGACGCUGCCUGCUCACAGCCCUCUGAAGGACUUCCAUCCAAGGGCUUAUCUCCACUGCAGAAUGAGCUCAGGUUUCCAGCCAGGGGUGCCCCAGCCUCCCAGCCCUGCCCUUGCUGAGCAGUGCAAUGGAAAGUUGGCAUCGAGUGACCCACCAGGCGCUGCACAUUAGGGUUUAAAUGCUACUGGUGCUGCAACUGCUGGCAGGGCUGUAGGGAUAGGGACAUCCGUGCUGCCCCAUGUUUCCAGGCCCCCAGGUCCCUCCAUGGUGCUCUGUGAGCCACCUGGGUGCUGCCUCCACACAGCUGCAUUGCAGAAUUCCCUAAUUUCCUCUGUUUUGGAUACAAGCUGCUGGUAAGAUAGGUGAGAGGUCUGUUCAAUGCAGCUUGGAUAUGCAGCAACAACCUGGAUGCCUUAAUAUUUUUUGCUCCUAUUUUUUAAUGUCUUUUUUUUUUUUCCCUGAGAAUGUGUUGCUUCCAUCACCACUGGAGAUUCCCCCCCCCUCCCCUUUUUUUUUUUUUUUUCAUUCUGUCUUUUAAAUCUCUCUGUGUUUUGCAAUAGUACCACAUUUGUUUGCAUUGACCAGAGGAGAGCAGACCCUCACUUCCGACCAGCUUCUGACCCAGCUGCAGAUCAGGACUCACCUGUUUCUGGAAAUACAGCUCCAACUGAGCCUCUUCUGACUCUGUGGGAGGAAGUCCUUGAAGACAAGCUGAACCAACUUGGAAGAGAACUUACAGUGGGACCGUUGCUCAACGACUGUUGUUCUCCCCAUUACAUGGUCAUGACCCUUCUUCUGCUCCCUUCCCCUGCCUGUGUGGUGAAGCCCAAAGAGGUGACCCCGUGCACACAGCUCUGCCCAGGGCUCACAGCCCUGUUCUGCCACUGCUCCCUAAAUGUGUGCUUCUUCCACCCCGCUUCACAAACCAAACAGCAUUCUGUUUGUAAGGAGCGUCACGCACUGACACCUCCUACCGGAGUUCCAUGAUAUGAAGCCAUUUUCAAGGAAAGAAAAAAAAGAUUUCCUGCGUUUGCUUCUUUGUGUUUGCACUGCUUUUAUUAAAAUGGUCUGCCAUGAGCUGCAUCGUGGAUGUAAAAUGGUACAGCCUCAGACUGGACUGAACUGGAGGUUUUAUGGAAAAGCAUUUUGUGAGAAAACUGUUCCCAGCUAUGUAGCCUUAGAAACAAGGGAGGUAGAACUGGAGGUCUAUGAAUAUGGAGAGCCUGGAGAUGGGAGAAUCACAAGGGAGACGACUGUGCAGCCAGGAUGAAAGAUGAGAGCUUCAGCAGAGAAUGGAUGAAGUUAAGGGAGAAGGGAAGACGCCGUGUGACAGUGGGAGGAUUUGUUCCACCCAGCCCCAAAUAGGAGCACGAAACACAGGUUUGCUUGGAGUGGUGAAAAAUCCAUCAGAAAUGUUCAGAUAUGAUUGUGAGACUAUAGAAAGCUCCAGGACAUCCUGGAAUACUGCACCAUUUAUCCCAAUCGGAGGGUGAGUCAGCAUUCAAUUACGUGCAGUCAAUUCUACAUUCAGUUUUCGAUGCGUUGGCGACAAAGCAAUUUAGAUAAUACGGUCAUAUAGCAGAAUCACCUUCCUUACAAGUCUGAGUUACAUUAGCUGAAAUAAAAAGUGUGUCAGCGCCCAUUUUGCAGCGUAUCAGAUAAUCACCGCGUGGGAUGCAGAAGAAAUCUCUUCUUCCCAUUGCCCAUGUAAUUGUGCAACGGCUGCUUUCUCUCCUCUGAAGCCGUUGCUUAUGGCUGCUCCUGAGACUCGACAGCUGUGCUGCUGCGUGCAGACGCCGUCGGCAGCCCUGCACACCGAUCCCCGUGCUGCAUAAGAGCUCCUACUGGUUUUACUGGAGAGAAAACAUUGUGCUGUAAUGAAGCGGGUAUUCCACAUGAAGGUAUGUGAGGUUUGGUCCUUUGUCCAUCACAUGGUGAAGACCUGUGAUGAGUGAAAUAGAAGGUCUGUGUUCUCUCCCCGCCACGGCUUUAUUGGCAUGAAAAGCCACAAGCCCAAUGACCUGGGAGAUCUCUAGAUGUGGCUCUGGGUUCAAAUGACGAUUGCCAUUAGUUCAGGAAAGAUGUUACGCUAAUUUUAACUUUUUUUCUUCAUCCUUUAAAGCAGCUAUUAUAUUAUUUUGUAGCAAUUAUACUUUUGGGAAUCAAAGCUUGGAGAGGAAAUGAGCGAUUUGCUAUGCUUUAAACUGGUGAUAUAAACUGGCUGAUCGUUUCAGUAUUGCUGAGAAAUUCAGACUUCCAUGCACUACUCCUUACACGGACAGGAUAAUGGAACUGCAUUAAAAACCACUCCUCACAUCCCAGGAGCAACCACGUAGCUUGAACCUUAAUUCCAUCCCACCAUUCCUACUGCCAUAACUCCACAGACUUUAAAGCGUUGAAUAAGAGCCAGACAUAGAGCACAGGCAAGAGAAAUUUCCAUUGGAUUUUUUUCCAUGGACAAUGCCCUUAAAGACCCAAGGUCAGACACUGCUCCCCCAUAAGCUGGCAUCUCUUUGUCCAGCUAGACCUUUGUGUCUACUUCAGGCUCCUGGAAUUCCCUUGGGGGACCUCAGCAUUCUCUAAGUGUGAGUGCAUUUUAGCUGUCGUGGCCAAGUUUACCCACAAAUACUAUUUUUUCCCCUUCUGAUUUAUUGCACAGAAAGGCCAAUGCUGCACGGAGACGUACCUGAACUCAUGUUCAGUCUUGAAAGUCCUCUGCUUAGAAACUGUGUCACAGGUUCAGAGCCACUAGGUUCCUGCUCCCCUGAAAGGAAGCACUCUCCUUUGCUGCUAAUGUGAAGAGAGUUCCCAAUGAUCUUCCUCUUGUGAGAAGGAGUUUCAUACUGUACCCAUCACUAUGCUGAACUUCCUUUCCUUGGAAGCCACCAUCACUCAAAUUGUCAGGCUCUGGCAGCACACUAGGUUGCCUUGGCUCUUCUCAAAUGAAUGCUCUCAAACUCAGGACAUGUCACCUUUGGCUUCCCUACAUUUUUCAUCACUCAAGAUGCCUCCCUUGUCUUCUUGGAAGGCUGGAGAGCAGCGCAGGGCUGGGACAGCCAGAGGGUGUGAAUUCAGAGCAGCGGUUCAGGCAUCAAGGGAAGCCUGCGCUGGCUGGAUCGCUGCCCCAGUAGGGGUGAGUGUCCACUUACUUCCAAGAGAGUCCCCAGGCAUUUUCGGGCUCCUUUUUUACCCGAACUGAAGAUAAUCAGAAUGACAGAAAAUCAGGAGAAGAACUUCUGUGUUUGUCAGGCAUUUUUAUAAGCAAAUGCCCCUCCAUUGCUCCUUUGUUAGUUUAAACAGACUGAAUGAAAGCACUUUUCCUUCCCGGUCAGUUUUUAAUGUUUAGCAUCUCCUUUUCACGUUUAGUAUCUCUCAGUUAAAAGGACUGACCAGCUUGCCUGAAUUCCACCUCAGAGGAAACAGAUUUAGCAGUUUUCCUGGAAAAUACCAAGUAAGCAAAACUCUUCAGCAAGUUCUUAAUGAAACCUACUUUUAGAAGUAAUUUUUUAGUCUGCCUUCAUCUAUCAUAAAUUAAAAGGGCAGAAAAUCAGCCUUUCAUCUUCAGUGUUUAUUUCUGAUCCCCAUAAAACAAUGAAGGUUAGCAGUCCCCACAGCUUAACAAGCAGCUUUCUGUCUCUUUAAGGCUGUUUAUGAAUCACUGUAACAAGAAUAACGAGUAAUUUGAAGCUGAUUGACGAAGCUAUGUGGCUAUCAGCUAGGACAAUCCUCGCCUCAGAGCUCUGCCUGUCAGCAGACCCUGCAGAACUGGCUGGCGUUAGACUGGCUGCAUCCAGAGCAAAAGUUAACUCGAGAAAAAAAUUAUAUUGGAUUUUAAUAAAACUUUCCUCCGAGGUCAACCUCUCUAAGGUAUAAAAUCAAUUUCUCUUCCCUUCUUCUACUUUACUCUGUUUUCUCAUAGCUACAGAAAAUCCUCAUCCUCACGGAACAUUUCCCAUUGCCUUUUUUCCACCUCGCCCUUAUCACAGUAGCUGCCUGUGAGCACUCAUUGGCUCGGCCAUUUUAUUUGGACUCACUACCCCCAUUUCACACUCUGUGCCUGGCUUUCUCAGGAUCGGUUCCCCUUUCUCACACCAUCAAUUAUCAGGCUGUUCUUCUGCAACAGAUCCUGCCUCAUAGCAGCUUUAGGACACAAAACCUUUUCACUUCAUCCCUCAAGGUGGCUGAAACAGCAGAGCUUUGGUGCAAAGUCUUAAUUGAAGCAUGCCAGGUUUCUCCUAGCUUUGAUUUUUUUUCUUAUUGAGCAGAUGCCUUCUGUGUCAUGCCUGGGACUCCAGUAACUUCAGCCAAGUAAAGCAGAGCAUCAGUGCGCUUAGGAGCGAAUGCUGUGAGCCCUAUGCUCCUGCGGGUCAGUCCCCUUUGAUUUUAUUUGCCCAGCAAGAUAAUGUUUAUUCUUUCUCAUUUUCUUUUUUCUUUCUCUCUUCCUCCUUUCCUCCCUUUCUUCCUUUUCUUCUUUCCUUCUCUCUCUUUUUUUUUUUUUUUUUU